UCACUUCACUACAAAAGCUCCUUCUCUGGAAACUAAAACUUGCGUGGUUUUCUGGAAUGCUUGUGUGAUGGAGAUGGAGGCAGGAGGUGGCAAUUUAGGGUGCUCACUUGUGGUGCCCAUCCUGGCUGCCCUUUCUCCACUCCCUCCUUUGCUUAACUCUUACGCAAAAUAAUAGAUCAUGGGUGGUGGUUGGUCGGUGGCAAAGUGCUGGUGAGUGGAGUUAUGUUGGUGGAUCAAAUAAUGUGAUGGGAUGUGUGUGAGGUGUGGUGUAUGACAUGUGGGACCCAAGGAGUGUAGGUCAUGCUUCUAGAAGAUUGCUAUAAUUAAAUAUAAUGCAGGAAAAUCUAUG
RNAcentral lists this long non-coding RNA (349 nucleotides) under Sorghum bicolor (sorghum). RNAcentral's name for it is "long non-coding RNA (SBIC_LNC010601)". The record is from RNAcentral. Lineage: Eukaryota; Viridiplantae; Streptophyta; Magnoliopsida; Poales; Poaceae.